This 400-nucleotide ribosomal RNA is filed under the name Phlebotomus papatasi. Its description in RNAcentral is "eukaryotic LSU rRNA". It matches the Rfam family "Eukaryotic large subunit ribosomal RNA", at positions 648 to 971 of the family's 3401-position model. The record is from RNAcentral. Lineage: Eukaryota; Metazoa; Arthropoda; Insecta; Diptera; Psychodidae.
CCCGUCUUGAAACACGGACCAAGGAGUCUAGCAUGUAUGCAAGUUAUUGGGAUUUAUUGUCAAACUUUUGUUAGACAAUAGAGUAUUUUGAAAUAAAACCCAAGAGCGAAAUUAACGUGACUGUUAAUGGGAUUAUAUUUAUCCAUUAUAUAUUACAUAUAUGGAUAAAUUUCCAUCCCGGGGCGAUUUAUAAUUAAAAUUGCAAAAUUUUAUGAAAUCGUACCUUGAGCAUACAUGGUAGGACCCGAAAGAUGGUGAACUAUGCCUGAUCAGGUUGAAGUCAGGGGAAACCCUGAUGGAGGACCGAAGCAGUUCUGACGUGCAAAUCGAUUGUCAGAAUUGGGUAUAGGGGCGAAAGACCAAUCGAACCAUCUAGUAGCUGGUUCCUUCCNAAAAAGGA